UACGGAGGGUGCAAGCGUUAUCCGGAUUCACUGGGUUUAAAGGGUGCGUAGGCGGGCAGGUAAGUCCGUGGUGAAAUCUCUGAGCUUAACUCAGAAACUGCCAUGGAUACUAUUUGUCUUGAAUAUUGUGGAGGUAAGCGGAAUAUGUCAUGUAGCGGUGAAAUGCUUAGAUAUGACAUAGAACACCAAUUGCGUAGGCAGCUUACUACACGAUCAUUGACGCUGAGGCACGAAAGCGUGGGGAGCAAACAGG
RNAcentral lists this ribosomal RNA (253 nucleotides) under uncultured bacterium. Its description in RNAcentral is "partial 16S ribosomal RNA". It matches the Rfam family "Bacterial small subunit ribosomal RNA", at positions 524 to 776 of the family's 1533-position model. The record is from RNAcentral.